GUGCCGGCCGCUGCGGUAAUACGGGGGUGCAAGCGUUAAUCGGAAUUACUGGGCGUAAAGCGCACGCAGGCGGUCUGUCAAGUCGGAUGUGAAAUCCCCGGGCUCAACCCGGGAACUGCAUUCGAAACUGGCAGGCUUGAGUCUCGUAGAGGGGGUAGAAUUCCAGGUGUAGCGGUGAAAUGCGUAGAGAUCUGGAGGAAUACCGGUGGCGAAGGCGGCCCCCUGGACGAAGACUGACGCUCAGGUGCGAAAGCGUGGGAGCAAACAGGAUUAGAUACCCUGGUAGUCCACGCCGUAAACGAUGUCUAUUUGGAGGUUGUGCCCUUGAGGCGGUGGCUUCCGGAGCUAACGCGUUAAAUAGACCGCCUGGGGAGUACGGCCGCCAAGGUU
Molecule: ribosomal RNA, 390 nt
Filed under: uncultured Citrobacter sp.
Lineage: Bacteria; Pseudomonadati; Pseudomonadota; Gammaproteobacteria; Enterobacterales; Enterobacteriaceae
Description: bacterial SSU rRNA
Rfam family: Bacterial small subunit ribosomal RNA
Source: RNAcentral